Molecule: long non-coding RNA, 1240 nt
Organism: Peromyscus maniculatus bairdii (prairie deer mouse)
Lineage: Eukaryota; Metazoa; Chordata; Mammalia; Rodentia; Cricetidae
Source: RefSeq, a predicted model, not a curated record
GACCUUAUCCUCUCACUGUGAGGGGGAAAAAAAGCCCUUCCUUCCUCUAGUUGCUUUUGAGCAAAGGAAAAAAUAAAUGACAGAAAAUUGGUACCAAGGAGCAGGGCUAUUCUGUGAGAAACCUGACCAUGUGGUUCUUGGGCCUUUAGAAUAAGCUGGCAAGAGGAAAGGGAAUGUCGGAAUUCAGAACUGCAGGCUAGAGAAGCCCUAGAAUUCUCCUGUAAAUAGAGCUUAAUGGGCCAUUCUGGUGGGAGUUUAGAGGACCAGAAUGUGGAGAGAAACUGUGAGGGCCUGGUUCAUGAGGUUUCAGAGGGGAACAAGGACUCUCUCUAUGGGAACUGGGCUACAGGUCAUGUGUGUGAUAUUCUCACAAAGAAUCUGCCUGAAGUCUGUCCAUGUUCCAAAAACUUGAGUGAGGCUGAACUCAAAGACUAAUUUGCUUGGUGGAGGAUGUUUCAAGACAGGAUAGCAUUCGGCCUCUGGUCACUGUUUGCUCUUCUAAGUCUACAGGAAACAAAGCAGAAACUGGAGCAGGAAGAUAUGGAAAGUGUGCAGCUGAGUGAGCAAAAGAGUGGGAGGGAGUGCAAAGUCCACGGGAGGCCUUGCUGUGAAUGCAGCUGUCCCUGUUAAAGACAUUAACGCACUUAAAGAGAAACCUCAGCUCAUCACCAGGACAAUGGGGAAGGCACCCUGAACCUCAAGAGCCCACCCAUGGAGGGCUCCAACUUGUAGACCACAAAUCCGUUUGAAAGGAGAGAGCCUGGCCCGUGAAUGCCACUGAGGUUUCCUGCUUGAAAACAAACCUAGAGAAGUGUCUCCUCUGAUUAGACCACCCUGGUACACACAGCCACCGCAGCUGGGGUAGAGAGGAGCCAGAAGCAGAACUUAGUGCUGGUUGUAGGCAUGCAAGAUGCAAGAGUUUCAGCGUUUGGUAGGCUUGCGCUAAAGUCCUAGACAGCAGCUGUGGCCAGACAAUGUCUGAUGUGGUCAGAUUCUCUUCAAAGAGAUUUGAAAGACCACUGUGUGAAACUGUGAAGGCGGAGCCCUGAGUUGCAACUCUAGGAUGUUGAAGGCGCCGGGACUAUGAGAUGCCUCUUGAGGAAAGCUGCAGGGCCUUGAAGUUAAGAGAUUACCUGAGACUCAGCAGAGACUCUGUGCUUAUACCUUGGGAAAAAUUUGAAAUUGGGAAGUUUGUAAAUGCUUUAUGAAAUGAAUAAUAAUAAAUAAUAAAUGAAUAAGG